This 429-nucleotide ribosomal RNA is filed under the name Pseudomonadota bacterium. RNAcentral's name for it is "Proteobacteria bacterium partial 16S ribosomal RNA". It matches the Rfam family "Bacterial small subunit ribosomal RNA", at positions 355 to 776 of the family's 1533-position model. Lineage: Bacteria; Pseudomonadati; Pseudomonadota. The record is from RNAcentral.
UGGGGAAUAUUGGACAAUGGGCGAAAGCCUGAUCCAGCCAUGCCGCGUGUGUGAAGAAGGUCUUCGGAUUGUAAAGCACUUUAAGUUGGGAGGAAGGGCAGUAAGCGAAUACCUUGCUGUUUUGACGUUACCGACAGAAUAAGCACCGGCUAACUCUGUGCCAGCAGCCGCGGUAAUACAGAGGGUGCAAGCGUUAAUCGGAAUUACUGGGCGUAAAGCGCGCGUAGGUGGUUCGUUAAGUUGAAUGUGAAAGCCCCGGGCUCAACCUGGGAACUGCAUCCAAGACUGGCGAGCUAGAGUAGGGCAGAGGGUGGUGGAAUUUCCUGUGUAGCGGUGAAAUGCGUAGAUAUAGGAAGGAAAACCAGUGGCGAAGGCGACCACCUGGGCUCAUACUGACACUGAGGUGCGAAAGCGUGGGGAGCAAACAGG